RNAcentral lists this ribosomal RNA (1460 nucleotides) under Ptyas korros. Its description in RNAcentral is "16S ribosomal RNA". It matches the Rfam family "Bacterial large subunit ribosomal RNA", at positions 423 to 2814 of the family's 2925-position model. Lineage: Eukaryota; Metazoa; Chordata; Lepidosauria; Squamata; Colubridae. The record is from RNAcentral.
GCUGAUAAUUUAACCACGAACAUACAGACCUAACCAAACAAAACAUUUGACCAACCAAGUAGAGGCGAUCGAACAGUAAACUAACACAUAGUACCGCAAGGGAAACAAUAAAGCACUAAACAGCAAAGAUAAACCCUUGUACCUUUUGCAUCAUGGUCUAGCAAGAAACCCAAGACAAGAAGAAUCAUAGCCUACACCCCGAAACCAGAUGAGCUACUUUAGAGCAGCCUAACGGGCGCACCCUUCUCUGUAGCAAAAGAGUGGGAAGACUUAAAAGUAGAGGUGAGACGCUUACCGAAUCUGGAGAUAGCUGGCUACCUAAAAAAGAAUAUAAGUUCAACCUUAGACCAGACAACAACUACUUGUUACCUAAGGACAAUCAAUAGGGGUACAGCUCUAUUGAAACAGGAUACAACCUGAAUUUGAGAGAAAACAUGAUAUGACCAACAGUAGGCCUUAAAGCAGCCACCUAAUAAAAUAUCGUUAAAGAAUUUACCUAAAUUAAACCAGAAACCAACUAAUAACUCCAAACUAACUAAGGGUAAACCCAUCUACAUGGGUACUAUUAUGCUAGAACUAAUAAUAAGAUAACCUCUCUUCAUUGCACCUAUCCCCUAGAUACCAGAUAAACUACUAGCCAUUAACAGACCACAACAGGAACUAACCAAAUCAAUACACACCUAUAAACCAAACUGUGACCCCGACACAGGAGCAUAAAAAAGAAAGAUAAAACAUUAUAAAAGGAACUCGGCAAACAAAGACCCCAACUGUUUAACAAAAACAUAACCUUUAGCCCAACAAAUAUUAAAGGCAACGCCUGCCCAGUGAACAAUUAAACGGCCGCGGUACCCUAACCGUGCAAAGGUAGCGUAAUCAUUUGUCUACUAAUUAUAGACCUGUAUGAAAGGCAAAAUGAGGGCCUAGCUGUCUCUUAUAAUAAAUCAAUUAAACUGAUCUACUAGUAAAAAAGCUAGAAUACUAACAUAAGACCAGAAGACCCUGUGAAGCUUAAACUAAAACAUUAAACCCCAUAAUGACUACUUUCGGUUGGGGCGACCUUGGAAAUAAACAAAACUUCCAAAACUGAGUGAUAUACACCACACCCUUUUAGGCCUACAAGCCAAACAUAGACCCAGCAACGCUGAUAACUGAACAAAGUUACUCCAGGGAUAACAGCGCAAUCUUCUUCAAGAGCCCAUAUCAAAAAGAAGGUUUACGACCUCGAUGUUGGAUCAGGACAUCCUAAUGGUGCAGCCGCUAUUAAGGGUUCGUUUGUUCAACGACUAACGUCCUACGUGAUCUGAGUUCAGACCGGAGCAAUCCAGGUCGGUUUCUAUCUAUGAAUAUAGCUCCACCCAGUACGAAAGGACCGGUAAAGCAGAGCCAAUACCAAAAGCACGCUCUAACAAAGACCAACCAUCAAAGCGUAUAGNGAAUGUGCCAGGCCAAGACAAGGCUAU